AUUGAACGCUGGCGGCAGGCCUAACACAUGCAAGUCGAACGAGUGGCGGACGGGUGAGUAAUGUCUGGGCAACUGCCUGAUGGAGGGGGAUAACUACUGGAAACGGUAGCUAAUACCGCAUACCAUCAGAUGUGCCCAGAUGGGAUUAGCUAGUUGGUGGGGUAACGGCUCACCAAGGCGACGAUCCCUAGCUGGUCUGAGAGGAUGACCAGCCACACUGGAACUGAGACACGGUCCAGGCUCCUAGGGGAGGCAGAAGUGGGGAAUAUUGCACAAUGGGGGAAAGCCUGAUGCAGCCAGGCGGCGUGUAUGAAGAAGGCCUUCGGGUGGUAAAGUACUUUCAGCGGGGAGGCGUUACCCGCGGAGGAGGCACCGGCAAACUCGGUGCCAGCAGCCGCGGAAUAC
Molecule: ribosomal RNA, 405 nt
Filed under: uncultured bacterium
Lineage: Bacteria
Description: partial 16S ribosomal RNA
Rfam family: Bacterial small subunit ribosomal RNA
Source: RNAcentral